Molecule: ribosomal RNA, 510 nt
Filed under: uncultured bacterium
Lineage: Bacteria
Description: bacterial SSU rRNA
Rfam family: Bacterial small subunit ribosomal RNA
Source: RNAcentral
GAUGAACGCUAGCGGGAGGCUUAACACAUGCAAGUCGAGGGGCAUCACGAGGUAGCAAUACUUUGGUGGCGACCGGCGCACGGGUGAGUAACACGUAUGCAACCUACCCUGUACAGGGGGAUAACCCGGAGAAAUUCGGACUAAUAUUCCAUAAUGAUAUUUUAGGGCAUCCUUUAAUAUUUAAAGCUUUGGCGGUACAGGAUGGGCAUGCGCAACAUUAGCUAGUUGGGAGGGUAACGGCCUACCAAGGCUAUGAUGUUUAGGGGACCUGAGAGGGUGAUCCCCCACACUGGUACUGAGACACGGACCAGACUCCUACGGGAGGCAGCAGUGAGGAAUAUUGGUCAAUGGGCGGAAGCCUGAACCAGCCAUCCCGCGUGCAGGAAGACAGCCCUAUGGGUUGUAAACUGCUUUUCCAGUGGCGAACCCCUGUACGUGUACGGGAUUGACGGUACACUGGGAAUAAGCAUCGGCUAACUCCGUGCCAGCAGCCGCGGUAAACCGACGAGU